Molecule: ribosomal RNA, 116 nt
Filed under: Paramormyrops kingsleyae
Lineage: Eukaryota; Metazoa; Chordata; Actinopteri; Osteoglossiformes; Mormyridae
Source: RNAcentral
CACAACAGCCAUACCACCUGCAGUUCAGACCAGGGAACCCAUCGGAAACUAAGAAGGUGUAGGCCUGACCAGUAUUUGUCUGGGAGAUCACUGGGAAAGCUGGGCUAUUGCUGGAA